CGUUGAUCACGUGUCCUUCCAUGCGCACAACAGGUGGCAAUCGAAUCUGAUGAGAGAUGGGGCGCCAUCAAAAUGGGCCGUCGCCUCCCGCAUUGCAUGCCGAUCUAGAUGAGUAGUUGGAGAUUGCUGCUGCUGUGUGUCAACGGAAGAUGAAGUCCGUAGCUGGGAGGCCUGUGCUGCUGGGUGGUGCUGCUGGACGACCAUUUGAUGCUGCUGCGUAUCCAUUUGCGCUGCAUUUUGAGGAACUGGAAUAGUUUUCUG
Molecule: long non-coding RNA, 261 nt
Organism: Drosophila willistoni
Lineage: Eukaryota; Metazoa; Arthropoda; Insecta; Diptera; Drosophilidae
Exons: 3
Source: RefSeq, a predicted model, not a curated record